GCCCUUGAAAGAUAACAGUAAUCUAUU
This 27-nucleotide transfer RNA is filed under the name Sphyrna lewini (scalloped hammerhead). Its description in RNAcentral is "partial tRNA-Leu". The record is from RNAcentral. Lineage: Eukaryota; Metazoa; Chordata; Chondrichthyes; Carcharhiniformes; Carcharhinidae.